UACGGGGGGAGCAAGCGUUGUUCGGAUUUACUGGGCGUAAAGGGCGCGUAGGCGGUCAGCACAAGUCAGUUGUGAAAUCUCCGAGCUUAACUCGGAAAGGUCAACUGAUACUGUGCGACUAGAGUGCGGAAGGGGCAACUGGAAUUCUUGGUGUAGCGGUGAAAUGCGUAGAUAUCGAGAGGAACACCUGCGGCGAAGGCGGGUUGCUGGGCUGAUACUGACGCUGAGGCGCGAAAGCCAGGGAGCGAACGGG
This 253-nucleotide ribosomal RNA is filed under the name uncultured bacterium. RNAcentral describes it as "partial 16S ribosomal RNA". It matches the Rfam family "Bacterial small subunit ribosomal RNA", at positions 524 to 776 of the family's 1533-position model. The record is from RNAcentral.